This 253-nucleotide ribosomal RNA is filed under the name uncultured bacterium. Its description in RNAcentral is "partial 16S ribosomal RNA". It matches the Rfam family "Bacterial small subunit ribosomal RNA", at positions 524 to 776 of the family's 1533-position model. The record is from RNAcentral.
UACGUAGGGUGCGAGCGUUGUCCGGAAUUAUUGGGCGUAAAGGGCUCGUAGGCGGUUCGUCACGUCAGGAGUGAAAACUCGGGGCUUAACCCCGAGCCUGCUUCCGAUACGGGCAGACUAGAGGUAGGCAGGGGAGAGCGGAACUCCUGGUGUAGAGGUGAAAUUCGUAGAUAUCAGGAGGAACACCGGUGGCGAAGGCGGCCACCUGGACGAUUACUGACGCUGAGACGCGAAAGCGUGGGGAGCAAACAGG